UGGGGAAUUUUCCGCAAUGGGCGAAAGCCUGACGGAGCAAUACCGCGUGAGGGAGGAAGGCUCUUGGGUCGUAAACCUCUUUUCUCAGGGAAGAACACAAUGACGGUACCUGAGGAAUAAGCAUCGGCUAACUCCGUGCCAGCAGCCGCGGUAAUACGGAGGAUGCAAGCGUUAUCCGGAAUGAUUGGGCGUAAAGCGUCCGCAGGUGGCUAUGUAAGUCUGCUGUUAAAGAGUCUAGCUCAACUAGAUAAGAGCAGUGGAAACUACAUGGCUAGAGUGCGUUCGGGGCAGAGGGAAUUCCUGGUGUAGCGGUGAAAUGCGUAGAGAUCAGGAAGAACACCGGUGGCGAAGGCGCUCUGCUAGGCCGCAACUGACACUGAGGGACGAAAGCUAGGGGAGCGAAUGGGAUUAGAUACCCCAGUAGUCCUAGCCGUAAACGAUGGAUACUAGGCGUGGCUUGUAUCGACCCGAGCCGUGCCGUAGCUAACGUACG
RNAcentral lists this ribosomal RNA (493 nucleotides) under uncultured cyanobacterium. Its description in RNAcentral is "bacterial SSU rRNA". It matches the Rfam family "Bacterial small subunit ribosomal RNA", at positions 355 to 861 of the family's 1533-position model. Lineage: Bacteria; Bacillati; Cyanobacteriota. The record is from RNAcentral.